UUGAACGCUGGCGGCAGGCCUAACACAUGCAAGUCGAGCGGAUGAAGGGAGCUUGCUCCUGGAUUCAGCGGCGGACGGGUGAGUAAUGCCUAGGAAUCUGCCUGGUAGUGGAGGAUAACGUCCGGAAACGGGCGCUAAUACCGCAUACGUCCUGAGGGAGAAAGUGGGGGAUCUUCGGACCUCACGCUAUCAGAUGAGCCUAGGUCGGAUUAGCUAGUUGGUGGGGUAAAGGCCUACCAAGGCGACGAUCCGUAACUGGUCUGAGAGGAUGAUCAGUCACACUGGAACUGAGACACGGUCCAGACUCCUACGGGAAGCAGCAGUGGGGAAUAUUGGACAAUGGGCGAAAGCCUGAUCCAGCCAUGCCGCGUGUGCGAAGAAGGUCUUCGGAUUGUAAAGCACUUUAAGUUGGGAGGAAGGGCAGUAAGUUAAUACCUUGCUGUUUUGACGUUACCAACAGAAUAAGCACCGGCUAACUUCGUG
Molecule: ribosomal RNA, 483 nt
Filed under: uncultured bacterium
Lineage: Bacteria
Description: partial 16S ribosomal RNA
Rfam family: Bacterial small subunit ribosomal RNA
Source: RNAcentral